GAUCGAACGGCGUGGCGGCGUGCCUAAUACAUGCAAGUCGAGGCGAACGAGACGAGGAGCUUGCUCCUUUGACGUUAGCGGCGGACGGGUGAGUAACACGUGGGUAACCUACCUAUAAGACUGGGAUAACUUCGGGAAACCGGAGCUAAUACCGGAUAAUAUUUCGAACCGCAUGGUUCGAUAGUGAAGGAUGGCUCUGCUAUCACUUAUAGAUGGACCUGCGCCGUAUUAGCUAGUUGGUAAGGUAACGGCUUACCAAGGCAACGAUACGUAGCCGACCUGAGAGGGUGAUCGGCCACACUGGAACUGAGACACGGUCCAG
RNAcentral lists this ribosomal RNA (322 nucleotides) under uncultured bacterium. RNAcentral's name for it is "bacterial SSU rRNA". It matches the Rfam family "Bacterial small subunit ribosomal RNA", at positions 37 to 334 of the family's 1533-position model. The record is from RNAcentral.